ACGUGAUAAAACAUUGCAAAAUAUUUGUCGUUUGAGAUAGAAGAAAAUUUAAAAUAAUAAGGAGCUAUUAUAAAAUGAAGAUGCUGUUAACACCAUUUAUUGUUACAACAUUGCUGUUAAGCGCUGGAGCUGCUGACAGAUGUGGGGACAGAUGUACAUCUACUCAAGUAUGUACAGAUGAUGGAAUAUGUGUAAAUAGGACGGACCUAGUAUCGUGUGGU
Molecule: long non-coding RNA, 221 nt
Organism: Mercenaria mercenaria
Lineage: Eukaryota; Metazoa; Mollusca; Bivalvia; Venerida; Veneridae
Exons: 3
Source: RefSeq, a predicted model, not a curated record